CGGACGGGUGAGUAAUGUCUGGGAAACUGCCCGAUGGAGGGGGAUAACUACUGGAAACGGUAGCUAAUACCGCAUAACGUCGCAAGACCAAAGAGGGGGACCUUCGGGCCUCUUGCCAUCGGAUGUGCCCAGAUGGGAUUAGCUAGUAGGUGGGGUAACGGCUCACCUAGGCGACGAUCCCUAGCUGGUCUGAGAGGAUGGCCAGCCACACUGGAACUGAGACACGGUCCAG
This 232-nucleotide ribosomal RNA is filed under the name uncultured bacterium. RNAcentral describes it as "partial 16S ribosomal RNA". It matches the Rfam family "Bacterial small subunit ribosomal RNA", at positions 99 to 334 of the family's 1533-position model. The record is from RNAcentral.